RNAcentral lists this long non-coding RNA (331 nucleotides) under Numida meleagris (helmeted guineafowl). RNAcentral describes it as "lncRNA (ENSNMEG00000020109.1)". Lineage: Eukaryota; Metazoa; Chordata; Aves; Galliformes; Numididae. The record is from RNAcentral.
AUGAGCCUUAAUUUUUCUCUAGUGGUCUCCAUCAUAAUUAAAACAGAACGUGAUCUGCUUUUAUGCUUCCUUCUCAGCCUUUUGGACUGCUCAAAUGCUGGUUUCCCUAGGCUUCUUCACGAAUGUGCAAGAGGAGCAGGACCACCACCUCUCAGUCCCACAGCCACUCCAAGUAAGUCUUGCUCUUGCAGAUCACUUCUCUGGUGUUUUGGGAUGGGUACCAUGCUAAUGCCAGUGGACAAGUGGCAUGGGCUGAGGGCUCUUCACCUCUUUCACCCAUCCACACUGAAGAGGCAAGGGCAGAGGGACUUCAUCUUCUCUUUGAUCAGCG